GAACAAAUGUUCAAUACUAAUGUACAAUGGUAAACAAGAGAAUUGGUUGUGGAGUAUAUGAAAACACUCUUCACAAUUAUCGUGCAAAUCUAAAACCUCUAAAGUAAACUGUUUUAAAAAAAAACCACACCAAAUACUAGGUAAUGAGAUCCGGAAGAUGACAGAAUUAAACACUGAAUGGGGGUGGCCAUGAGAAAUGGUUUGCAAGGAACACUGGCUCCCUAACUUCUACACCACAAGAACUGAACUGGACAAGAUGAGGAAAUGUUUUCCGGAAAGUCAAAUUGGGAAGGCUCUUUAAUGGUUGUUGCGAAAGCACUUCUUUUCUCAAACCAGAGCACUUGGACUCCUUUGCACCCUCCCCGCCCCCAUGGAUGUUCCCAAGCGGCGCUUUGUGAUGUCAGCAGUGUCAGGGCUACCAUUGGCUGGAGAAAUUUCUUGCUGACCAAUCAAACGGACAGUUGUGGCUCACCAUUGUCCUGCGACGGUAUAUAUAGAGACGCCAGGCGCCUUGGUGGAGGCCACCGUUGCUACAACAUGGCAGACCUAAUUAAGGAAGUGAAGGAGGAGGAAACAGAAAUCGAGAUAGACGCUUUCAAUCUGCAGCAACAAGCUUCAAGUGCUAACGAAGGAAGAGAAAGAACACUGAUCAGUCCGAUGGCUUGGACAGUCAGAAGAUACGAAAGCCCACGAGGAAGGUAAAAUCAACCCUUCAGCGGAACCCGGGCCGGAAAAAGAAAGGGAAGAGGUCGGCGAAUCCAGUCUUCUACCACCACCCGCAGAGAAAAAAAGAAGAAUGAAAGUGGGCCAAUGGCGAUGAUGAAGAACCCCAGAGGAUUCUUCCAACACUUCUGACGAUUCUGCAAGUAAGCCCCUGUGCCCACCUGGAGCCCAAGAUGCUGAGCCAUCUGCUGUAACUCCAGGAAAAGCAAAGGCAGAGAAUAGUCGUGUGUGCAGACAUCAAACAUACAACGAUGGUCCCCUCUGGACAGAUCAAAGUAUUCAGAUGUUGACUUUAAAGUAUCAACAAGCAGUAAAAGAUGUGUGUGCGUGUUUUUUGAUGAUGGAGAGGGGAGAAAAGGGAAGGGUCCGGUGUGUGAGGAGGGAGGGAGGAGGCGUCCUUUCAGUCUAGGGGCCCAGACCCGCCAGUCCAUACUUACCCAGACACUGGGACUGAGGACUGGGUGAAGACUGAGAACUGCAGACUGAAGAUUGCUUCCUGAACUCUCAUCCACUGGUGAGAGGGAAAAGGACUUGGUUGUUUCUGUGUGUUUCAGAGGUCCCAUCUAGGGAGAGGGGUGAUGUAGGGGUGGUGGCUCUGUGCACUAAUCAGAUCCCACUUUUCAGGUGUGACAAUUGAGUUUUGCCCCUCAUCAAUUUCUGUUCCUCUUCUGGCCCACAUUGGGCAAGCUACUACAAACAACCAGGGAGUAAAGGAACGUGACAUAGAAACAGAUAGCCUAACCUUAACCACUGGAAUUACUGCCUUGCCUACAUUUCCCAGUGCCAAAACUCC
Molecule: long non-coding RNA, 1516 nt
Filed under: Bos indicus x Bos taurus (hybrid cattle)
Lineage: Eukaryota; Metazoa; Chordata; Mammalia; Artiodactyla; Bovidae
Description: lncRNA (ENSBIXG00000029738.1)
Source: RNAcentral